CUGGGACAAGUUCCAUUCUC
Molecule: small nuclear RNA, 20 nt
Filed under: Arabidopsis thaliana (thale cress)
Lineage: Eukaryota; Viridiplantae; Streptophyta; Magnoliopsida; Brassicales; Brassicaceae
Description: snRNA_04925
Source: RNAcentral